This 438-nucleotide small RNA is filed under the name Pan troglodytes (chimpanzee). RNAcentral's name for it is "retained intron". Lineage: Eukaryota; Metazoa; Chordata; Mammalia; Primates; Hominidae. The record is from RNAcentral.
GAGGAUGCAGGUUGGGGGCGGGGCUGCGGUUGAGGCCUGGGCAGGGGUCUCUACCCCUACCCUCCCUGCCACCGCCUGUCUUUUCCCUCUCUGUCACCCCAGAACAGCGAUUUCUUGCGGGAGCUCGUGAUCACCAUCGCCAGGGAGGGCCUUGAGGACAAAUACAACUUGCAGCUGAAUCCGGAAUGGCGCAUGAUGAAGAACCGGCCAUUCAUGGGCUCCAUCUCGCAGCAGAACAUCCGCUCGGAGCAGCGUCCUCGGAUCCAGGAGCUGGGGGACCUGUACACGCCCGCCCCCGGGAGAGCUGAGUCAGGGUGGGCCUUCGGUAGAUCCCCGGUCUGAUGUUUCUUCAACGCUCUUGGGAAUCCCUCCCUCCAUCCUCCCACACUGGGUGAUGUCCUGGGGCCCUGGGCACUGACAGAGGGAGGAGAGAGAACU